RNAcentral lists this ribosomal RNA (252 nucleotides) under uncultured bacterium. RNAcentral describes it as "partial 16S ribosomal RNA". It matches the Rfam family "Bacterial small subunit ribosomal RNA", at positions 524 to 776 of the family's 1533-position model. The record is from RNAcentral.
UACGUAGGUGGCGAGCGUUAUCCGGAAUGAUUGGGCGUAAAGGGUGCGUAGGCGGCCUGCUAAGUCUGGAGUGAAAGGUACCGGCUCAACCGGUACAGGCUCUGGAAACUGGCGGGCUAGAGAGCAGGAGAGGUAAGUGGAAUUCCUAGUGUAGCGGUGAAAUGCGUAGAUAUUAGGAGGAACACCAGUGGCGAAGGCGGCUUACUGGACUGUAACUGACGUUGAGGCUCGAAAGCGUGGGGAGCAAACAGG